Molecule: unclassified non-coding RNA, 240 nt
Filed under: soil metagenome
Description: partial contains 5.8S ribosomal RNA, internal transcribed spacer 2, and large subunit ribosomal RNA
Source: RNAcentral
AAGACUAUAGACCUGCGGAGUACCUGCGGAGGGAUCAUUACAUGGCGGAGAAGGUGGGCAACCUGGCCAACAUCCAGGUUGUGAUGCCUUCACGCUCUUCCACCCUUGUCUAUUUGCACCUUCUGUCGUUCCCUCGGCGGGUUUCGACCCGCCGGCGGCAACAUUGAAAAACCCUUUUUGCAGUUAGCAUUCAAUUCUUCUGAUCAAAUAUUAAAUCAUUACAACUUUUAGCAAUGGAUC